RNAcentral lists this small RNA (565 nucleotides) under Pan troglodytes (chimpanzee). Its description in RNAcentral is "processed transcript". The record is from RNAcentral. Lineage: Eukaryota; Metazoa; Chordata; Mammalia; Primates; Hominidae.
AUAUAGAACAAUGGAAGUGACAACAAGAUUGACAUGGAAUGAUGAAAAUCAUCUGCGCAAGCUGCUUGGAAAUGCUUCUUUGAGUCUUCUCUAUAAGUCUAGUGUUCAUGGAGGAAUUAAGGAUAACCUAGAUGACAUAAAGAGGAUAAUUAAAGCCAGAGAGCACAGAAAUAGGCUUCUAGCAGACAUCAGAGACUACAAGCCCUAUGCAGACUUGGUUUCAGAAAUUCGUAUUCUUUUGGUGGGUCCAAUUGGGUCUGGAAAGUCCAGUUUUUUCAAUUCAGUCAAGUCUAUUUUUCAUGGCCAUGUGACUGGCCAAGCCGUAGUGGGGUCUGAUAUCACCAGCAUAACCGAGCGGAUUACAAUAGGUCAUAGAUGGUUCUCUCCCUUCUGGUUUGAGUGAUACUACACCCUUGCCAGCACCACAGAUGGAAAAACUGUAAUUAAAGUGUCUCUGAGAAAUCCUUUUCUUUGCAAUCUUCCCAAAUCGUCCAUAUUUUUUUGUGUAUGUUGAAUGUAUAUCUGACCAUCAAAUAAAAUACUUUCAGAAUUGUUCUAGAAAAUA